AUCAACGAUUCAUCCCCCUCAGCUCAGCUAUUGACGCACUCAAAUUGGUAUUUUUUUCUUUUCCAGUAAGUUUGACGGUCUAAAAAUUCUUAACAUUUGGGAGUUAGUACAAAAAGAGAAGGAUAGGAGAUGAACGGGAUGAGUAGAAGAAGUUUGGAGAGUUGAAAAUCUGGGCUUUGUGGCUGGUUGAAGAGAAUGUUAGUCAAUAGAGAAAAAAAAUUGACUGAGAAAGAGAAGCAGGGCAAAAAUUGACAGAAAAAAAAUUAUGUCGCAAAUAAUCUAUCAUUUAUUUUUGAAAAUUUUUGAUUUUUCAUCGAUUAUUUGUGAUGAAAAGUAGGUUUACGUUGCAAAUAUAUAAUUAUUUACGUUGG
RNAcentral lists this long non-coding RNA (371 nucleotides) under Elaeis guineensis (African oil palm). Its description in RNAcentral is "long non-coding RNA (EGUI_LNC046123)". The record is from RNAcentral. Lineage: Eukaryota; Viridiplantae; Streptophyta; Magnoliopsida; Arecales; Arecaceae.